This 206-nucleotide long non-coding RNA is filed under the name Vigna radiata. Its description in RNAcentral is "long non-coding RNA (VRAD_LNC013002)". The record is from RNAcentral. Lineage: Eukaryota; Viridiplantae; Streptophyta; Magnoliopsida; Fabales; Fabaceae.
UCGGGGUUUCACGAAUUUUGGGGCUUAGAGUUCCGAUUGAAAAGAUUAGGGUUUGAAUUGGGAAAAAUUAUUUUGGGUUUCUGAUUUUCACCUUUUGGAUUCUCGCGGUGGUUGCGAUAGCAGUGGCAACCGUUUCGUGGUGGUUGUCGGAGUUGCGCGAGUGGUGUCGCCGGUGGGUGCUGUCUGGGUGUUGCGGUGGCUGGCCG